CCUCUUCCUCUCUCAAAAAAGACCAACCCUGGCGACCCUCUCUCUCACUAUCUCUUCUCCAUCACCGCUGCUCCAACUCCGGCGAGCACACCCUCACCCUCUCUCCCUCCAUUCUCUCCAUCUAUUUCUCCCUUCGUUGUUGCUGCUUCUCCUCCGCCAACAGCAACCACCAGUAAACACUGCCCAGCCGCCACACCAUCUUCCUCCUUCGAGCACCACCUCCAGCAGCCUCCACCACCUUCUCUUUCUCUCCCUCACCUCCAUCUUGUCUCUUUCAUCUCCUUCACGCAGUAACCACAAUAAACAAUAUUUUCUUGUGAGCUGUUGUUUAAAAGACAGCCAUCACUUUACAGCUGCCAACCCUCUCCCUCUCACGCACCACCACCACUCCGCUAAACCACUGCAGCAGCAACCCAUACCUCCUUCUUUCUCUCUCUCCCUUCUCUUCUACACACCUCUCGAUCUCCCUCUUUCACUCCGAUAUCCUCCAACCUCUCUCUUCUCCCCAUCAUCAUCAGCAAUUUCGGCAAGAACCAGGCUCUGACAAACGAGGUCAGUGGCAACAGCGGCCAGACACCAACAAGCGGAACUCCGACAUUAUCAAGAAAGCAUCAGCGAAGCAGAACAUCAAACAAGUUUUAUUGAACAUGCACAUAUUAGUGAGGAAAAAUUCAGUAACACACCAAAUCAGUAAAAAAUAAGUCAUGAAAGAGAGAAAGAUAACAAGCAACGAAAAAAAAAACAUAGAAACAAUAAAGCUCAGAUGAGGAGAAAAGAUUUUAGAAUGAACAAAAAUUUCGCUGACUUCUAUUCUGAUGAUGAUGAUGGAAUGCUAUUUCUUUAUGAAAAGAGAAAGAAAGAGGGUAGUGGAUACAUUGUGAUUCCUUGACCACGAGGAGGUGGCAAAAAUAAUGAGAUAUUAUGAUUGAGGUAUAUAGUCUGCGAGACCCCCAUGGGUCCUUCUUGGUAGCACAACUCAGCAGCUGUAUACAAAAGAUACUAGUUAGGGUACCUCAUGUGAGAGUUGAUAUUCUAGCAGAUUGUGUAUUCUCAGAUUAGUGGUGAGGUUCCGAGAUUCGAAUCGUCACUAGUC
This is a long non-coding RNA of Solanum dulcamara, 1093 nucleotides long. RefSeq lists it as uncharacterized. The record is from RefSeq and is a predicted model, not a curated record. Lineage: Eukaryota; Viridiplantae; Streptophyta; Magnoliopsida; Solanales; Solanaceae. The transcript has 4 exons.